RNAcentral lists this ribosomal RNA (402 nucleotides) under Triticum aestivum (bread wheat). RNAcentral's name for it is "partial small subunit ribosomal RNA". The record is from RNAcentral. Lineage: Eukaryota; Viridiplantae; Streptophyta; Magnoliopsida; Poales; Poaceae.
AUGAAGAGCAACCGAGCCCCUGACCCGGAUAACAUACCAGCUGAGUUUUAUAAACACUGCUGGGAGUUUGUGAAAAAAGAUAUUAUGCGCUUGUUUGAUGCUUUUCAUGACAACACUUUAGAUGUUGCUCGUUUGAAUUAUGGGGUGAUAACUCUUAUCCCAAAAAUGAAUGGAGCUAAGAAAAUCCAGCAAUAUAGACCAAUUUGCCUCUUGCGAUGUCCAUACAAACUUAUUACCAAUGUUUUGGACAAUAGAGCAGCUAUUUUUACUGAUAUGCUCAUCAGCAAGCCUCAAAAUGCCUUCAUAAAGCAUAGAAACAUUAUGGAUGGUAUCUUGACCCUACAUGAAAUUCUUCAUCACACGCAGCGAAAGAAAAGAAAUUGGUGUGGUGUUGAAACUUGA